RNAcentral lists this ribosomal RNA (200 nucleotides) under uncultured bacterium. RNAcentral's name for it is "partial 16S ribosomal RNA". It matches the Rfam family "Bacterial small subunit ribosomal RNA", at positions 328 to 539 of the family's 1533-position model. The record is from RNAcentral.
ACGCUCGACACCUACGGGAGGCAGCAGGUGGGGAAUAUUGCACAAGUGGGGGAAACCCUGAUGCAGCAACGCCGCGUGAAGGAAGACGGUUUCGGAUUGUAAACUUCUGUUCUUAGUGAAGAUAGUGACGGUAGCUAAGGAGCAAGCCACGGCUAACUACGUGCCAGCAGCAGGCGGUAAUCUGAGGCGGCUGGCAAGGC